Molecule: long non-coding RNA, 543 nt
Organism: Esox lucius (northern pike)
Lineage: Eukaryota; Metazoa; Chordata; Actinopteri; Esociformes; Esocidae
Source: Ensembl
GAAAUGUCGCAAAAAAGCGGUGAUCAUCUGAACUUCGGAACAAACACUGCUGAUGGGACUUAAUGAAAAAUGUAAAGGAGUCAUCACCAAAGAGGGCAAUACUGCCGCAAUUGACAAGAUGUGCACCUUUCAUCCAAAUCCAAUUACUACUAUUCUUCCUGACAGUUUGUGGACAGAUGCCCCCAGUAGAUGCCUGUAUGUUUAGGCUAUGAUACUCAUCAGGGAAGCUCAGUGAAGAACUUCUGUCUCUGAAGACCCUUGGGGCUGGUGGUGUAAACGCUUUGUGGAGAAUCUGAGCACAUUCAUCCACAGGGUUGUUGAGGAAUGAACAUGCCAUAUUUGGUUGCAACUGGCUGGUCUUUAGAUGCACUGCUUAUAUAGUCUGAAUCUCAAAUCGCGUGCUUGUAUACUAUAUAGUAUGUGAGAAGAUUAGUAUGUCUCAAACCAUUGUACGGUGAAAAUAGUACGCCAAAUGUUCCCGGAUGAUUUGAAGUAUGCAUCCAUGCAUGCUUUUUGGGGUAAUUUAUGCUUAUACUACAUUAU